RNAcentral lists this long non-coding RNA (905 nucleotides) under Homo sapiens (human). RNAcentral's name for it is "HSALNT0381093". The record is from RNAcentral. Lineage: Eukaryota; Metazoa; Chordata; Mammalia; Primates; Hominidae.
CUUCAAGUGAUACUCCUGCCUUGGCCUCCCAGAUUGCUGGGAUUACAGAGUUGAAAGAUCACCUGGACCACUCCAUUCAGUUUACAGAAGACGACACUGAGGUCUCGAGUGAGGGAUUAAGUACCCAAGAUGUCACAGCAGAUAAUGGCAGAGUCAUGAUUUCUAACAAACAAACAGAAGAAGCAAGUCCCCUGCCUGUCGUCAGCCGGAGCCCCUCUGCUACGCCUGCUCCCCUGUUUCCCAUGGACUGCCUCAUCUUUUGCCUCUAGUUUGAGCCUGAAAGUUACACCUCCAAUGAAUGAAACUCACAGGAUCAUUGGCAUCCAGUCUUCCUCCUCCACACCCACUCUCGGCCACCUGCCCUUCUCAUCCACAGGUGGGAGCAAAGCUUGGUCAACCUGAUAGGCCUCUUCCAGGCAGGGACAGGAGAAGGGACGGCACAGCAGCUCUGAGUCAGGACUCCUUUCGGUAAGGCGUGGCCGCCAGGAAGGCCUGAGAGAAGGAAACCAGCCCAGGUGCGCUCUGUUUACCUUCUCGGCUCACAAACAUGACCAGACCCUCCUUGGCUGGCUGGAUGAAGUCCCAGCCACUUAGUCCAGCCCUCGAGCCUCUCCCAUUCCAGCCACAGUCUGCCUGGCCAGUUCCAUCCCCCUACGGCUUUCCUGGUGUACCACACCAUCCUCGGAUUGCAGCUCGCCCUCUUGGGCCUUUCUGGCCUAGCAGGUGCUGUUCCUUCAGCUCCAAUGCCCUUCCCUGCCUCUCCACCCGGCAAGCUCCUUCUCUUUGUAUCUUCUGCACUAACACUUCCCUCCUCCCUCCCCUUCCCCUCUUUUUCCUUUGUGCCCCGGUGGCACUUCUGAGACAAUGUUACAAGCAUAAUAAAAUAACAAAAUCAUGAAUCUGUG